CUGAAAAACGUAAUUUCAUCUUACCAGAGUGGUUCUAAUAGAAUGUAAGUUGAGUAACAACUGUUGGGCCGUGUUUUGAGAUGAUUGUGAGAGUGUUAUUGUGUGGUAUUUUGUUGUAAUAAGCAUCAGUGUAUCAUUUGCAGAAUGCUAAUAUGUAGUAAGUAUAGAGGCAAUCUGCAACUUCAGAAAAUUUAUUGUAGAGUUUGUUCUAGGCUAACCAGACAAUAUUGAGUACAUGAGUUAAGGGGAAAGCCUGUGAUUUGAUGAGCAUGGCAUUCACAGUUGUCUGCCACCAUGUUGUACUUACGUUCUGGUAACGCCAUGUUCAAGAGUAAUGGUGUAUAAGGCGCGAAUGUUGUGGAAAGGUUGUGUAAAUGUUAAAUGGAUUAUUUUGGCUUUUGCUGUUAUCCUUUAGCCAUGAGUGUUUUGUUUAAGUUCUGCGUAUGUAAAUAUGUAAAGUUAUUUUGAAUUAAUUUGUAUUUAUUUUGCUUUUGAAAGAAUCCUUUGUGUAACUGUUAAGGUUCAAAAUAUAGGGAAGUAAAAACAGGCGGAAUGCAAGUAACCACACUGGUCCAAAGGGUAAAGACAAUGAUUUUAAUGAAAUGACACGCGUGGGAGAAUGAGCGGACUCUAUGAGCAGACAGCCCCAAAAUCUCAUCCUCCAAACAUCAAAAUACAGUUUUAUAUGCAUCAGAGUAUAUUUUGUGACGCCCCCUCAUUGCGUCAGUACAUCAACUUCAAAACCACAAAUGUUCUAUUUGACAACUUGAGACACCAUCAAAGUACACUGGCCUCCAUCCUCUCCCCAGUGGUUUCCCGUAAGCCAGCUCAGCUCUGGCAUCGUGCAUCUGCUUCUUCAUCAAACAGUCACAGGAAGCAUGCUCAACUUUCACCUACACCCUAACAGUAUGUGUAUGUAUGUGUGUGUAUGUCUGUCUGUGCGUUUAUUUUUUAAUGAAAUCUGUUAUUUUAUUUGACGAAUGCUUGGGUUAAUGUGAUUUGUAUUGUGUGUAUGUUGAGUGAAUGAAUGGCCGCUAAGAAAUAAAUGAACUCCAGCCUGAGCAAGACGCUAACUUCAGUGUCCUCUCUAUUAAUCCAAUUUUUAUAAUUGGCUCUGCAGUGGUCUCUAGUCUGUGCCACUUGCUGCCAGUCCAGAUUUCUGCUAGGUCUGGAACAGGUAACAACUGGGGGCUCGUCCAGGAUUGUCUAGUGACUCAGCAUAGUGAAGUGCCUGCCAAUUACCAGAACUGGUGUCCAAAGCUUCGGGGAAGGCUUCAUUGAGUGUGUCAUCCAGAGAGCCGGUCCCUGCCACUACGUGGUUAUGUAAUUGACCAGUGAACAGGGGUGUGAGGAAUCAGCAUUGGGUGGAUGCUGGCUACUAAUACAGACUCACUACGUUAAUGGCGUCACACAGACGCUCGGAGGCAAUGGGGUGCAUGACGGAGUGGCAGAGCACCUGCAGCAGCAUCAGUGACUUCAGGCCUUCUCUGUGCAGUCGGCCACAAUCCAACCACAGUCAGCCACUUUGAAAAAAAAGCCUUUGAAAGUGUCAGUAUAAAAACUAUUGUUCAACUCUCACCCCAACCAGUCACGGUGGAUGGCUGCCCCUCCCUGAGUCUGUCCUUCCCACUGUCACAAAAGUGCUUGCUCAUAGAGGAUCAUAUGAUUGUUGGGUUUUUCGUAUAUGUAUUAUUGUAGGGUCUACCUUACAAUAUAAAGCACCUUCAGGUGACUGUUGAAUUGAAUUUAAUCAAGUCUUCCAACUUGAUAACAAUCUUAAAAGCUCAUCCAGCAUGUAUUUGGCCCGUUAUCUUAAAGCCUUAUCUACAUCAAAUGACAUUUCAAUGGUCACCAGGACACAGAAGCUGCAUGUUUAAAUCACCAGUCAAAUUGGAUU
Molecule: long non-coding RNA, 1897 nt
Organism: Oreochromis aureus
Lineage: Eukaryota; Metazoa; Chordata; Actinopteri; Cichliformes; Cichlidae
Exons: 3
Source: RefSeq, a predicted model, not a curated record